UACGAAGGGGGCUAGCGUUGCUCGGAAUUACUGGGCGUAAAGCGCGCGUAGGCGGAUCGUUAAGUCGGGGGUGAAAUCCUGGAGCUCAACUCCAGAACUGCCUUCGAUACUGGCGAUCUUGAGUCCGGGAGAGGUGAGUGGAACUGCGAGUGUAGAGGUGAAAUUCGUAGAUAUUCGCAAGAACACCAGUGGCGAAGGCGGCUCACUGGACCGGUAUUGACGCUGAGGUGCGAAAGCGUGGGGAGCAAACAGG
RNAcentral lists this ribosomal RNA (253 nucleotides) under uncultured bacterium. Its description in RNAcentral is "partial 16S ribosomal RNA". It matches the Rfam family "Bacterial small subunit ribosomal RNA", at positions 524 to 776 of the family's 1533-position model. The record is from RNAcentral.